AUUUCUAAGGUUACUAGCUUACCAUGGAUGGCUGUAGUGAAGGUAUAGCCACAAGACUGAGGAAUCAAUACAGCAUACAUCUGUUAGCAACACAGGAGGCCAACUUGAAGUUAGGUCAGAAAGGAUAUAUUCAAAAAGUUCCCAAAGUUCUGAUUCCUACGUGUUUCUGAAAUGUGCCCCUUCUUGUAUCAGUUGGGGUCCAUCUGAUAAAGAACACCUUUGAAAUCUAUCUUGGGUGAGAGAAAGAUUGGUCCUCAGAGCAUUGCUGGUUUGGAUGAUGGAAAAGGUGAGAUGCCAAACAGAAGACAAGGCCACUCACGUUAGCUGUAGCAGGAAGCUAUAAUCAGCGCUGGGCUGUGUGGACAAAGAGAGGAAGUAGUGUUUCCACAGCCAAGGGUGGGAUCCCUGGACUGCAGCCAGGACUGGAGCAUGCGUGCACAGAGGCAGCUGAAGCCAAAGAGGAAAUACAACUGCUGCUGAUUAUUGCAUGCACAUCUUGAAUCUGGGCUUACCCAGUGGAGAAUUCAAGUUGACAAUAGCAACGGAAGCUGACAUGUCUUGUUGGAGCAGAGUGUCCUGCUCUCCCGUGCUCUCCCAAGGGAAUGAAAUACCAAACCUUGUCCAAAAUGUCAACGAUGAUGCACCUCUCCUCCUGGAGCAGAGCUUCUGGAGUCCAGGCAGCUACUUUCCCAGCUGAAAAAUGCCGGUGAACCAGCACGACAAGGCUGUCAUGAGUA
RNAcentral lists this long non-coding RNA (737 nucleotides) under Mus musculus (house mouse). RNAcentral describes it as "RIKEN cDNA 4930526H09 gene". The record is from RNAcentral. Lineage: Eukaryota; Metazoa; Chordata; Mammalia; Rodentia; Muridae.